CGGCGAGUGAAGCGGCAAUAGCUCAAAUUUGAAAGCUGGCGUCUUCGACGUCCGCGUUGUAAUUUGUAGAGGAUGCUUCGGCGAGGACUCCUGCCUAAGUUCCCUGGAAUGGGACGUCACAGAGGGUGAGAAUCCCGUAUGUGGCGGGCGGUCCAAGCCAUGUGAAGCUCCUUCGACGAGUCGAGUUGUUUGGGAAUGCAGCUCUAAAUGGGAGGUAAAUUUCUUCUAAAGCUAAAUACCGGCCAGAGACCGAUAGCGCACAAGUAGAGUGAUCGAAAGAUGAAAAGCACUUUGGAAAGAGAGUUAAAAAGUACGUGAAAUUGUUGAAAGGGAAGCGCUUGCAACCAGACUCGUUCGCAGUUGCUCAGCCGGCCUCUUGGCCGGUGUACUCUUCUGCGGUCGGGCCAGCAUCAGUUCGGGCGGCUGGAUAAAGGUGUCGGGAAUGUAGCUCCCCUCGGGGAGUGUUAUAGCCCGGCGCGGAAUGCAGCCAGCCUGGACUGAGGAUCUCGCUUCGGCAAGGAUGCUGGCGUAAUGGUUGUAAGCGGCCCGUCUUGAAACACGGACCAAGGAGUCUAACAUCUAUGCGAGUGUUUGGGUGUCAAACCCAUACGCGUAAUGAAAGUGAACGGAGGUGGGAACCCGCAAGGGUGCACCAUCGACCGAUCCUGAUGUCUUCGGAUGGAUUUGAGUAAGAGCAUAGCUGUUGGGACCCGAAAGAUGGUGAACUAUGCCUGAAUAGGGUGAAGCCAGAGGAAACUCUG
RNAcentral lists this ribosomal RNA (761 nucleotides) under Phyllosticta owaniana. RNAcentral's name for it is "eukaryotic LSU rRNA". It matches the Rfam family "Eukaryotic large subunit ribosomal RNA", at positions 87 to 866 of the family's 3401-position model. RNAcentral also lists the same sequence under 1 other name. The record is from RNAcentral. Lineage: Eukaryota; Fungi; Ascomycota; Dothideomycetes; Botryosphaeriales; Phyllostictaceae.